GAACGAACGCUGGCGGCAUGCCUAACCCAUGCAAGUCGAACGAGGCCUUCGGGUCUAGUGGCGCACGGGUGCGUAACGCGUGGGAACCUGCCCUUAGGUUCGGAAUAACUCCCCGAAAGGGGUGCUAAUACCGGAUAAUGUCUUCGGACCAAAGAUUUAUCGCCUUUGGAUGGGCCCGCGUUGGAUUAGCUAGUUGGUAGGGUAAAAGCCUACCAAGGCGACGAUCCAUAGCUGGUCUGAGAGGAUGAUCAGCCACACUGGGACUGAGACACGGCCCAGACUCCUACGGGAGGCAGCAGUGGGGAAUAUUGGACAAUGGGCGAAAGCCUGAUCCAGCAAUGCCGCGUGAGUGAUGAAGGCCUUAGGGUUGUAAAGCUCUUUUACCCGGGAUGAUAAUGACAGUACCGGGAGAAUAAGCUCCGGCUAACUCCGUG
This 434-nucleotide ribosomal RNA is filed under the name uncultured bacterium. Its description in RNAcentral is "partial 16S ribosomal RNA". It matches the Rfam family "Bacterial small subunit ribosomal RNA", at positions 27 to 507 of the family's 1533-position model. The record is from RNAcentral.